CCGGAAUGAGUACAUUGUGCUGUUAGGUGGGUAGAUGACGUAAUGGGUAGGUGGUGUUUAAAGUCUCGCGGGUGUCAAGGAAACAGCGUUUGCUCUUGUUCUACGCUUGGUGAGCGAGUUUGUGUUUCUUCCUCUGCUGACGCGUUGAAAGAACAGCUUGACCCAUUGUGCCCGACAAUUCGGAGAUUAAUCCUGUUUCAAUAAUUGAGGUGAGAACAUAGUGCGCAUGCCAUUUUGCGCUUUGUUACGGCCACUGGACGACGUCAAAACCUUCCUUGGCAAGUGGCCAUCGUUUUUUCCCCAACGAACUUGGGAUUUAGUUGCUUUAUAUUUUUUUGAUUUGUGGCAUUCAUUUUGCGGGAUCUGCCUGUCUUAUUUAAAUGGUAUAUUUCUGUAUUGGGAGGUCUUGUUUGAUUGUGUGUUUUAUGAAUAAUGGUUUGAUUGGGUUUGACUUUUCUUUGGGUUUGAUUUUUUUCUUCCUCCCAUGUGGUAUAUUUCCCAUUUUAUGAUUUUAGGUUGAUUUGGUGUUAUUUUGAGUGCCAUUCUUAUCAUGUUUUCUUUUGAUUUAAAGUAUGAUUUUCCUGUUUAAUUAAAUUGAAUUUUAGCUGAAUGAUUUGUUUCUCUUAU
This is a long non-coding RNA of Carassius carassius (crucian carp), 627 nucleotides long. RefSeq lists it as uncharacterized. NCBI's taxonomy places the organism in Eukaryota, Metazoa, Chordata, Actinopteri, Cypriniformes, Cyprinidae. The record is from RefSeq and is a predicted model, not a curated record. The transcript is spliced from 3 exons.